This 138-nucleotide small nucleolar RNA is filed under the name Ornithorhynchus anatinus (platypus). Lineage: Eukaryota; Metazoa; Chordata; Mammalia; Monotremata; Ornithorhynchidae. The record is from RNAcentral.
CCCCUCUCAGGGUCACACCUGGAGAGUUUCCAGUGCUCUACCAGUAUCGGCUUUGGGCGGGAGAGUCAGGCAGAGGCCUACCCUUUCCAUUCCUAGCUUGGCCAGUGGCUAGUGAGUGGAAGGCAAUCUGCUACAAGU